CCAGGAACAGGGUUAUAGGAGGGUAGCUCUCCAGGAACAGGGUUGGGUUACAGGAGGGUAGCUCUCCAGGAACAGGGUUGGGUUACAGGAGGGUAGCUCUCUAGGUUAAUCAAGUCAAAUGACCUGGAUUUUAACCUUUUAUUUGAAACCUUUUCCAGAAAUAAGAAUUAGAUUCCAAAUGAAAGCAAUCGUCUCAGUGUGGUGCAGGAGGACGGGGCUGGACCAGCUGACAUUAAAAAAAGGGGACAGUUUGAUUAAAAGCUUGAAAUAAAAGUACAAAUCCAGGUCAAAACACAGGGCCCUAAUUAUAGAAACACAACGUCACGGUCCCAUAACACAGGCUGGUAAAGCUCUGUCUGGAUGAGGGAAUGCUGUUGUGUCUCAUAACACCGGCUGGUAAAGCUCUCUCUUGGAUGAGGGAAUGCUGUUGUGUCAGAAGGACAUCAAAAUGUCACAUAACACCGGCUGGACACCGGCUGGUAAAGCUCUCUCUCUUGGAUGAGGGAAUGCUGUUGUGUCUCAUAACACCGGCUGGUAAAGCUCUCUCUCUCUUGGAUGAGGGAAGGUUGUUGUGUCUCAUAACACCGGCUGGUAAAGCUCUGUCUGGAUGAGGGAAUGCUGUUGUGUCUCAUAACACCGGCUGGUAAAGCUCUGUCUGGAUGAGGGAAGGCUGUUGUGUCUCAUAACACCGGCUGGUAAAGCUCUGUCUGGAUGAGGGAAUGUUGUGUCUCAUAACACCGGCUGGUAAAGCUCUGUCUGGAUGAGGGAAGGUUGUUGUGACUCAUAACACCGGCUGGUAAAGCUCUGUCUGGAUGAGGGAAUGUUGUGUCUCAUAACACCGGCUGGUAAAGCUCUGUCUGGAUGAGGGAAUGUUGUGUCUCAUAACACCGGCUGGUAAAGCUCUGUCUGGAUGAGGGAAGGUUGUUGUGUCUCAUAACACCGGCUGGUAAAGCUCUCUCUCUCUUGGAUGAGGGAAUGCUGUUGUGUCUCAUAACACCGGCUGGUAAAGCUCUCUCUCUGUCUGGAUGAGGGAAUGUUGUUGUGUCUCAUAACACCGGCUGGUAAAGCUCUCUCUCUUGGAUGAGGGAAUGUUGUUGUGUCUCAUAACACCGGCUGGUAAAGCUCUCUCUCUUGGAUGAGGGAAUGUUGUUGUGUCUCAUAACACCGGCUGGUAAAGCUCUCUCUCUUGGAUGAGGGAAUGUUGUUGUGUCUCAUAACACCGGCUGGUAAAGCUCUCUCUCUUGGAUGAGGGAAUGCUGUUGUGUCUCAUAACACCGGCUGGUAAAGCUCUGUCUGGAUGAGGGAAUGUUGUGUCUCAUAACACCGGCUGGUAAAGCUCUGUCUGGAUGAGGGAAUGCUGUUGUGUCUCAUAACACCGGCUGGUAAAGCUCUGUCUGGAUGAGGGAAUGUUGUUGUGUCUCAUAACACCGGCUGGUAAAGCUCUGUCUGGAUGAGGGAAGGCUGUUGUGUCUCAUAACACCGGCUGGUAAAGCUCUCUCUCUCUCUUGGAUGAGGGAAUGUUGUUGUGUCUCAUAACACCGGCUGGUAAAGCUCCCUAUUGGAUGAGGGAAUGUUGUUGUGACUCAUAACACCGGCUGGUAAAGCUCUGUCUGGAUGAGGGAAGGCUGUUGUGUCUCAUAACACCGGCUGGUAAAGCUCUGUCUGGAUGAGGGAAGGCUGUUGUGUCAGAAGGACUGUUUUAAUUACAUCAAAAUGUCACAUAAGCAUGUGACUUGUAAUUAUAUAUUUUAGAUGUUUAUAUUCAUACGCCAGAUGUCGUUUGUAAGCCUCGUUUUUUGUUCUCUCAAAGUGUUCUUUGGAUGGAUUGUGCAACAGGUGAUGGUUAUCUUUUGUUUUUGUUUUUCCGACAGCAAAGUGUGCUCACUAUAACAUGAAGUGUAUGGAGCAAUGUUUGGUUUGGAUCUGAAAUGAAUGGAUGAUGAAAAUAAACAUGGUCAGUUGUUGCACUCUGA
This is a long non-coding RNA of Oncorhynchus gorbuscha (pink salmon), 1973 nucleotides long. RefSeq lists it as uncharacterized. The transcript is spliced from 2 exons. NCBI's taxonomy places the organism in Eukaryota, Metazoa, Chordata, Actinopteri, Salmoniformes, Salmonidae. The record is from RefSeq and is a predicted model, not a curated record.